Molecule: long non-coding RNA, 471 nt
Organism: Pipra filicauda (Wire-tailed manakin)
Lineage: Eukaryota; Metazoa; Chordata; Aves; Passeriformes; Pipridae
Exons: 3
Source: RefSeq, a predicted model, not a curated record
GGAUGUGGAUCUCUUGGAAGGGAGGGAGACCUAAAAGGACUGAGCAGGAGGUCUGGAAGGGGGCAACUUUCAAGCAGAGCCAACUCAGAAGGCAGCUUUGACAUCCUGCAUGUACAAGGAGACCUUUGCAGAGCCUCUGGACUCUCCUUAAACACGAGUUUCUCCCUCCCUGGUGCUUUUUGGGGUCACCCUGAGUGUGAGUUGGCCGGACACGGAUGGGAUGGCACUGCAGGUUGGGAACAUGGACAUCUCUGUGCUUGGAUUAGCAUCCCACUCUCAGAUUACCAUCCUGCAGUCAGAAUAGCUCCAGUUCCUCCUGACAAUUAGCAGAGAGAGUCUGUACGACACACGGGGUGAUUACGUCGCCAUCGCAGCCUCUGUGGCCAGCACUGCCUUAUUAAAGGAGGGCCCCUCUUUCCAGGAGAACAUUGUGAUCAAAUUAGACUAAAAUUAACUGGAGUAAAUUAAGAA